UUUUAUGCUGUUCCCGUAACACCCAGCACCAGUCCCCAAGGAUGAGUGCUGAAGAUCCAUAGCCAUGGCAGGGCAGGGCCUAGGUACUGAAGGAAGAUCCCACUCAGAGUUCAGUUCCACCCACUGCAAAACGCCCUCCGAGGACCCUCACUAGACCAGUUCCUCCAAGUGCGGUCCGCAGGCUGCCAUCAGCGGGAUCACGGGCCUUGUAUGACCUCUGAAAAUAUGACCUGAAGCAGAUGGAUGCACUCACAUAAGAAACAUCACCUGUGGCCUUCAUCGAAAAUGGGCCUGCUGCUUGAAGAAGUUGGGCUCUUGGAGUUCUCUAGCACAGGGGCCAUGAAAAUCAAUGACUUCCUUGUUUGCUGACGGAGCAGAGGUAGAAUCUCUUGGUGUUUCCACGGAGAAAACACUGACCAUGAAGAGCCAAGAAAGAUGACAUGAUGAAGCCAUCAGGGGAAGCACCAAACAUCCUCAACUCUGCUCACCCAUGGUUUUCUCCCGCCCUCCCAGAGCUCCUCCUGCGUGAGUAAUGCAGUGUGUGCUGGUGCAGUGUCUCACUGAAAAAAGAAAGAAACCCUGAUUUGCAGCAUUGGCCAAUUUCUGUAGUGUAAAUACUCCCACCAUAGCAGAUUUCAGGUUACCAAGGGUUUCACAACUGGUUCACAAGUCUUGACUGUAAUGACCAGCUCAUGCAACUCCAGCAUCUCAUCAUCUCCGCCCUGUCCCAGAAAAUCCCCACAUCACACCCAGGCUGAAUAUCACUUUCAGCUUCUCAGUCAGAAGGAGAAGUGGUUAACUAUGCCAGGAUGGUAAUGACUAAAUAUCAGAAUGGUGAGUGUGGAGGGUCAGGAUGUCUGCCAAAUUGGAGAUGACUCUUCACUUCUCAAUCUUGGUGUCUCAUCUGGGGAAGCUGGAGGGAGACAUGCACAGCUUCUCAUGAACAGUCCUGGAAGCCCUUACCCCAAGGCCUCAUGGGGCUCUCUCCAGGGCUUGCUCUUUGUCACUCCUUUAAAAGCCUGUCAUUCAUUGCCAGAGAACAGAAGACUCCAUCCUAAGGCCAAGUUGAAAACGGCAGGCUUGGGAGCUGUCUAGACUCUGGGUCCUGGCUUUUGUCUUGGCUGGUGUCAAAAUGGACUCUUUAAAAACUGUCCUCAGGAAGAUUCCCCAUCCAACUCUGAACAGCCUGGACUGAUCUUUUUCUGAUUUUUAGGGGUCUUGUGAACAAGAGUCAGGUGGGCGGGCAGCUCUUGUAAAGCUGAACAUAACCAAAUUUGUCCAUAGCCUGUGACAGCAAAGAUCACAAAAUUCUUCCCUCCCCUUUAGGGCCUGGGAGUGACGCCGAACCAAGGGGAGGAUAGUGACCUAUUUUAUCUCCCAAACAUUGGGCAGCCAGUUGCAUUUGCAGAUUUAAAAUCCACCCACACUACUGCAGUUUCUGUUCUCCUGCCCCCCCGAGCAUACUUCUGGCUGGAGCUGGUUUUGUAAAGUGGAGUUGGCUGUGGGUGUGGGAGUCCUCCUCGGAGAGCCUGGUCUGACAGCCCCAGUCAACAGCCCUCCCAUGGGCAUUUGGGCUGCUCCAGUCCCGGCAGGUGCACAGCUCAGGGGAAUCUGGUUUUGUCUUGGUCUCAGCCAGGGAAGUCUAGUUAAAGAAAGAAAAGGUUGGCCGGGUGCAGAGGCUCACACCUGUAAUCCCAGCACUUUGGGAGGCUGAGAUGGGCAGAUCACGAGGUCAGGAGUUUGAGACCAGCAUGGCCAACAUGGUGAAACCCCGUCUCUACUAAAAAUACAAAAAUUAGCUGGGCGUGGUGGCAGAUGCCUGUAAUCCCAGCUACUUGGGAGGCUGAGGCAGGAGAAUUGCUUGAAACCAGAAGGUGGAGGUUGCAGUGAGCCGAGAUCGCGCCACUGCACUCCAGCCUGGGCAACAAGAACAAAACUCUGUCUC
Molecule: long non-coding RNA, 1945 nt
Filed under: Homo sapiens (human)
Lineage: Eukaryota; Metazoa; Chordata; Mammalia; Primates; Hominidae
Description: PREDICTED lncRNA (TCONS_00078836)
Source: RNAcentral